Molecule: small nucleolar RNA, 118 nt
Filed under: Myotis lucifugus (little brown bat)
Lineage: Eukaryota; Metazoa; Chordata; Mammalia; Chiroptera; Vespertilionidae
Source: RNAcentral
GAGCCCUAGUGAGAAGUUAUGGGAUUUUUAAAAAUUACAUUCCAGUGCUACAGCAGCCCCACUGCCACCACACUGACCGCCUGAUGGUGGCUCUCAGUGUCAGGUCUUGGACACAAGC